RNAcentral lists this long non-coding RNA (2607 nucleotides) under Triticum aestivum (bread wheat). RNAcentral describes it as "long non-coding RNA (TAES_LNC010288)". Lineage: Eukaryota; Viridiplantae; Streptophyta; Magnoliopsida; Poales; Poaceae. The record is from RNAcentral.
CCUGUAUAUUCCUUAGUUAGAUGUCUCAGUAAGUUCAGUAUAUCAUCGUCUACUUAGACAAAAUACAUCAUGGUCAAACAAUACAAAUAUUUCACAAGUAGAAAAGGCAUACAAAUAUUAAUUUUCAGUAAAAUGAUGAAGUGUUCAGAUAUAUCAAUGCUUUCACCUCACUUGUCAUGCUGUUAUGAACUAUAUUUUUUGUGUAAUUGCUAUAUCAGAAUUGAAGUAACCCAUUCGACGCUUGACUGUAUCUUAGCAUGCUUAUUGAGUACAUUCCUUAUGUCAUUUUUACAGAUAAAUUAAUUUGUGUCAAGUAUCGCUUUUUGCCAUAUGGACAUGACAAGUUGUCAUACAUUGGCCUGUCAAAUUUAUCGGGUGCCAAGUUCACUUGCCAUAUUCUCAAUUUUGUUUCUUCUGAUUUUGGUGUUGGUGUGUGUAUUGUUAGUGAAAAUAUGCUCAUAGUUUUUUUAAAUAUGUGUACGCCAUUAACUGAUGUCAUUGUGUUUUCCAGGGGUAUAUGAACCAGAAAUGAUGUGAUAUACUUGGUUAUUUGAACAUGAAGGUCAACCACGGGGUGGCGCGACAUGGGUGAGCUGAAAUUGUUCUACUGAUUCCUUGAUGCUUUGUUCAUUGCUUUGUUCUUAUUUUAUCGUUCUUUAUUUGCUUUGUUCUUUCCUACAAGAAGAUGCCGAGUCGUGCAAUAUGUUCAAAGAAGUGAGAAUCUGCAUUUUAUGAAUGUUUUCUUCUUUCUUCAUUGUUACCUCAAGUCAGUGAAUUCAGUUAAAUUGUACUGAGCAGCUUCAUACGCAUGGUUUCUCCAUCUACACAUCUUAUUCAGUCACGAGGCCAUUAAGAUCUUUUUGACUUUUAUAAAAAGGGUGAUGCCAAUUGGACGUCACCCUGUCCAACUUGAUCUUUAACUUGCUAUUACUGUUUGGAUCUUCACAUUCAAGGAUUUUUCAUUAAAUCGUCGGUUCACCAGUUCUUUGUUACUUGAGAUAUUGUGAUAAACUUAUAUCAUUGCUUACUAUACAUAUGUCUGGAUGAUGCCUGCAGGCUCAUUACAAGCUUCAGGUGGAUCAAAUAGUGGGCCUUCUAUAUAUAUAUUCAGCUGUAUCAUUUCUUACUAUAUAUGUCUUCCUGUAGACGAGACGAAACCAUACAUGGAUCCUUUGCCUCCUUUCUUGCUCAGACCCCAUGAUACAACCUCGGCGGUUGUCCAGCGACUAACAGGUAAUUUCUCUUUCAAUUUGAUGAUGAUGGAUGAGAAUCAGUUCUAUGAUUGCAGCUUAUAAAAACAGAUGUUGGAUGUCCCUUAUGUGAUGUGCUUAUUUACCAUGAUAGAUGCAAUUGCUUAUUAGUAGGUGCUCUCCGAAUCCUUCUUUAACUAAUUUACUUUGAAGUUCGGACAAAGGAGACUAUAACUUUUUAUAUUCGUUCUAUCAUGGAUUCCCUCUCUAGCCUAUGUACGUUUCAGAAAUAGGUACACACCUAGGAGAAGCCUGAGACCUAAUAAUAGUGCUAAGCAAUUACUCUGAUUGUCAUUCUAUGCUAUCAUCACAACACAGGUCAAUAGACAGUCAACAAAUGUGUAAUCAGCUUUCCCUGGGUCCUGCAUCAUCUACUAAUAAUCAAAUUUUGUGGCGAGUGUCUUAUAAAUCAGCAUACCUAUUUCUCCACACUGGAUAGCUUUUAUUGUGACUACAAAGAAUAUCGUUUGAGGAUGGCAUGCCAAUUGUUCUAUGUCUUGGGUAUGAAGUAAUUUCUAAAAUGUCUUAGGUUUCCCUAUAAAUUCUGCAAAUUUGCGGCAUGUCAUUAAAACCUACAGGGUGCUCCACCGAUGGUGAAAAUACCUCACAUGAUGAUGUUGGAUAUUCUUCUACAAACUUCUGGCCUACUAGUGGCUGAGUAUCGAAGCAAAAUGUGACAGUUGCAUGAUGUGGUUGACUGUUUAUUUGCAUACAGCAAUAUCAUCUUUUGGAGAUAAAACAGCCGUAUGGAUGUUACAUGAGACCAUGUCGGAAGACCCUGCUGCUAUGUAAGCAAAAGGAUUCAUGAUACCCACGGUGAAAACAGAGAUAAGAUGCUACAGUUAGAGCAGCAUUGAGAAACCGAGGACACGAAAUGAGUCUGAAAAAUGCUAUGGGCUGAUUUGUUCUAGCUAGGUACAUGCAAUGCUUCUCUUAUAUAUAUGCAACGUAACAUCGCGGAUAACUAGAACUGUUGUGAUGUUGCUCUAUUAUAAGUACAAAUAACUCAUGGUUAUCUUUUCUUAUGCAAUGUGUGGUAGAAGUUGUACUCACAGGAAGACUAUCGUGCUUUGUAUAAACCACAUUCUAUGAUUCACUUCUGUUAUGCUUAUUUACAUUCCAGUGUUAGGACUGAAAUCCAUCUAUUGUAAUGAAUUUGGUUAUAUUGGCAUUACCUAUUUGACUUAGGCUUGGUUCAUCACAUAUAGACUGUUUUUCUUGUAACCCGCUGCUUGUAUGACCUAAAACUGUCAUGUAUAUGAGGCAAGUUAUUAGCAAUGUUUCACAUUUUCUUACUUGCAAUACUAUGCUUGCCUGUUCAGGUCUUCCAAGACCUAAAUCAUCAGAAAUCCAGCAC